GACAGCAGUCGCCACGGUAAUACAGAGGGUGCGAGCGUUAAUCGGAUUUACUGGGCGUAAAGCGUGCGUAGGCGGCUUCUUAAGUCGGAUGUGAAAUCCCUGAGCUUAACUUAGGAAUUGCAUUCGAUACUGGGAAGCUAGAGUAUGGGAGAGGAUGGUAGAAUUCCAGGUGUAGCGGUAAAAUGCGUAGAGAUCUGGAGGAAUACCGAUGGCGAAGGCAGCCAUCUGGCCUAAUACUGACGCUGAGGUACGAAAGCAUGGGGAGCAAACAGGAUUAGAUACCCCCGUAGUCCCUGUCUCUUAUAC
This 306-nucleotide ribosomal RNA is filed under the name uncultured bacterium. Its description in RNAcentral is "partial 16S ribosomal RNA". It matches the Rfam family "Bacterial small subunit ribosomal RNA", at positions 507 to 807 of the family's 1533-position model. The record is from RNAcentral.